This 487-nucleotide ribosomal RNA is filed under the name uncultured bacterium. RNAcentral describes it as "bacterial SSU rRNA". It matches the Rfam family "Bacterial small subunit ribosomal RNA", at positions 501 to 987 of the family's 1533-position model. The record is from RNAcentral.
CUACGUGCCAGCAGCCGCGGUAAUACGGAGGGUGCGAGCGUUAAUCGGAAUAACUGGGCGUAAAGGGCACGCAGGCGGUGACUUAAGUGAGGUGUGAAAUCCCCGGGCUCAACCUGGGAACUGCGUUCUGAACUGGGUGACUAGAGUGUGUCAGAGGGAGGUAGAAUUCCACGUGUAGCAGUGAAAUGCGUAGAGAUGUGGAGGAAUACCGAUGGCGAAGGCAGCCUCCUGGGAUAACACUGACGUUCAUGCUCGAAAGCGUGGGUAGCAAACAGGAUUAGAUACCCUGGUAGUCCACGCCCUAAACGAUGUCAAUUAGCUGUUGGGCAACUUGAUUGCUUAGUAGCGUAGCUAACGCGUGAAAUUGACCGCCUGGGGAGUACGGUCGCAAGAUUAAAACUCAAAGGAAUUGACGGGGACCCGCACAAGCGGUGGAUGAUGUGGAUUAAUUCGAUGCAACGCGAAGAACCUUACCUGGUCUUGACAU